UCUAAUGAUUUUUUUUUAAUUUUUGUUUUAUUGUUUGUAUGCUUGGGGUUUUUUUUGUUUGCUUUUUGUUUUUUGUUUUAAGAAUAUCUAUGUUGAGUAUGUUGGCUACCAUUUGAGUCCUUUUCUUCAGGCAAUACUAUUCCCAUUGCUUGUGGAUUAAUACACAGAGUUGCUUCCUCCUGCCCCUGUAAACCAGACAAUCAGUGAGCUAAGCUGGUCAAUGAGCCAUGAUGAAGUGUGAGCAGUAAAUUCUCUUAUCACCAUGGCAACCGGUGUACUCCUUAGACAGUGCCCUAUUGGUAUCUUGGGAAGAGAGCCUGAUGACACAUCACUAAGAUCUCCCUCCACAUUAACCUUGUUGUUUGAUUCACAGUCUUUGGGGACCCUGACCAAUUACAAAUUCAUAAAACUUGUAUUGAUUAUUUUGGACUGCAGAUAUUGGAAUGAUAUUACAUGCGGAUUUAAGUACUUGAAGAUUUUUACUUCUUGAAUUCCAAGUCCUGAGACUGAUAGUGAUACAACCAAAUUCACACCAGAUCGUUUUCCCAAUGAAUAUCAGAAUCCCAAAGAUGAAAUAAAUCAUGGUUUAUAGCUUGUC
RNAcentral lists this long non-coding RNA (598 nucleotides) under Mustela putorius furo (domestic ferret). RNAcentral's name for it is "lncRNA (ENSMPUG00000031341.1)". The record is from RNAcentral. Lineage: Eukaryota; Metazoa; Chordata; Mammalia; Carnivora; Mustelidae.